This 495-nucleotide ribosomal RNA is filed under the name uncultured bacterium. RNAcentral describes it as "partial 16S ribosomal RNA". It matches the Rfam family "Bacterial small subunit ribosomal RNA", at positions 28 to 507 of the family's 1533-position model. The record is from RNAcentral.
GACGAACGCUGGCGGCGUGCCUAAUACAUGCAAGUGGAACGCUGAAGGAGGAGCUUGCUUCUCUGGAUGAGUUGCGAACGGGUGAGUAACGCGUAGGUAACCUGCCUGGUAGCGGGGGAUAACUAUUGGAAACGAUAGCUAAUACCGCAUAAUAGCAGUUGUUGCAUGAUAACUGUUUGAAAGGUGCAAUUGCACCACUACCAGAUGGACCUGCGUUGUAUUAGCUAGUUGGUGGGGUAACGGCUCACCAAGGCGACGAUACAUAGCCGACCUGAGAGGGUGAUCGGCCACACUGGGACUGAGACACGGCCCAGACUCCUACGGGAGGCAGCAGUAGGGAAUCUUCGGCAAUGGACGGAAGUCUGACCGAGCAACGCCGCGUGAGUGAAGAAGGUUUUCGGAUCGUAAAGCUCUGUUGUAAGAGAAGAACGAGUGUGAGAGUGGAAAGUUCACAUUGUGACGGUAUCUUACCAGAAAGGGACGGCUAACUACGUG